Molecule: ribosomal RNA, 331 nt
Filed under: uncultured eukaryote
Lineage: Eukaryota
Description: partial 18S ribosomal RNA
Rfam family: Eukaryotic small subunit ribosomal RNA
Source: RNAcentral
CCCUUAGAUGUUCGGGGCCGCACGCGCGCUACACUGUUCGACGCAGCGAGUCUUAACCUUGACCGAAAGGUUUGGGUAAUCUUCAGCAAAGUCGAACGUGAUGGGGAUCGAUCAUUGCAAUUAUUGAUCGUGAACGAGGAAUUCCUAGUAAGUGCAAGUCAUCAGCUUGCGCUGAUUACGUCCCUGCCCUUUGUACACACCGCCCGUCGCUACUACCGAUUGAAUGGUUUAGUGAGAUCUCUGGAUUGACGCUGGCUAGGGGGCGACCCUUGGCCAGGCUGUCGAGAAACUGCUCAAACUUGAUCAUUUAGAGGAAGUAAAAGUCGUAACA